GUCCUGCUGCGGCUCUCGUCGAAGGCGACAUAUUCCAGCGACCUUAAUUCACUCAUAGGGAGCUGUCCCUGCCCGCGACCGUGGUUUCGGGCACACGGCGCCCACCUGGUCUAUCCAGGUCGAGGGAAUGAAACAGUCCUUCACGGCUCUCGCGGCGCCGCC
Phenylobacterium sp. is the source of this 162-nucleotide non-coding RNA. The record is from Rfam. Lineage: Bacteria; Pseudomonadati; Pseudomonadota; Alphaproteobacteria; Caulobacterales; Caulobacteraceae.